This 500-nucleotide ribosomal RNA is filed under the name uncultured Glomeromycotina. RNAcentral's name for it is "partial small subunit ribosomal RNA". It matches the Rfam family "Eukaryotic small subunit ribosomal RNA", at positions 591 to 1092 of the family's 1831-position model. Lineage: Eukaryota; Fungi; Glomeromycota. The record is from RNAcentral.
CCAAUAGCGUAUAUUAAAGUUGUUGCAGUUAAAAAGCUCGUAGUUGAAUUUCGGGGUUAGUAGGUUGGUCAUGCCUCUGGUAUGUACUGGUCUCACUGAUUCCUCCUUCCUGAUGAACCGUAAUGCCAUUAAUUUGGGGUUGCGGGGAAUGUGGACUGUUACUUGGAAAAAAUUGGAGGGUUUAAAGCAAGCUAACGCUUGAAUACAUUAGAAUGGAAUAAUGAAAUAGGACGUUCGAUCCUAUUUUGUUGGUUUCUAGGAUUGACGUAAUGAUUAAUAGGGAUAGUUGGGGGCAUUAGUAUUCAAUUGUCAGAGGUGAAAUUCUUGGAUUUAUUGAAGACUAACUACUGCGAAAGCAUUUGCCAAGGAUGUUUUCAUUAAUCAAGAACGAAAGUUAGGGGAUCGAAGACGAUCAGAUACCGUCGUAGUCUUAACCAUAAACUAUGCCGACUAGGGAUCGGAUGAUGUUAAUUUUUUAAUGACUCAUUCGGCGCCUUACG